CAGAAAGCUGCCAGAAGCUCAAAUUCGCGCUUCAGCACAAUCGAGUCCAGUGGAGCCUAUGAUGCCUCCCCCUCCUGGAGUGGAAGCUGAAUGGCAGAUGCUGCCCAAAUGUUCAUUAAUUGAGAGGCUUCCGUCCCCGGACGCCCCUGGAUCUUGGACAGAAAAAAAAAAUUCGGUCGAAUAUGCAGGAUGAGGAGCCUCCAGAUCCUGUGCGCCCUUAGCGCCCAGCCACAGAGUCAAAUGCAAGCAUUCCCCGGGAUGAGAAAGAAAGAGAUCGAUCAAGGUCUGGCUGCGGCUUUCCAGCGAAGAUGCUGCGCGCAAGGAACGCCAGCCCCAGAGCGGCUCUGUGCGACUCUGCGGCACCCUGCUGCCUGCCGGCCCCCUUUCCCAAUUUGCCCUCCGGCCAUUCGUCUGCACAUGAAUUCCCUGCACUUGUGAGUGAACCCACACAAGUUCUCUAGGCACGGUCCUCCUACUCUUUCCCGCGGGGAAGGGUGGGGGUAGUUUUUCAACCUUAACCUCUCUACUACCUGGAGGAAGGUGACUGUACUGGGAGGGUGAGGGAUUGUUUUACAGGUUCCAGGGCGUCAGAAUUAGGUGCCAGUGCUAAAGUGGCUUGUUUUCUUCCUUUGCCCUUUGACAACUGGUGAGCUGACAGCUGCCUGGGCGCAACCCCCGGGCUCACUUUGCAGCCGGACGCUGAGUUUCAGACUGCAGCCCGGUUCCGCGUAGACCCGGGCCUCUUCGCCCCUCAUCCAAGUCUGCGGCGGAUGGAUGCUGACAGACAUCCUCUGAGCAUUGGUUAAAGCUCUACCUUUGCACCUCCUGUUUAUCUACCGCCACCUCCAUCUCCCCCUCCCCUCCCGUCUCCUUCUCUUCCCCAUCCCCACCCUUUCAUCAUUUGCACCACCACCAAAUUACGUGCCCCUUUGGUAGAGUCGAAGCUCCCCGCUGAAGUGAGGGGGAGGGCGAUACCCAUCCCCCCUCUCCCAUCUCUGCCUAGGCUCCGGGUUUUACUGCAGCAAUCGGAGGUGACAGCGCCACCUCGGUCUCCUCCGUAGCUCUCAGAGCCCCUGCUUCCCCCAGUAACUGGGAAAGCGCCCCCUCUUGAGAAGCUAAUUUCUGAAGAAGUGCGAACAGGCUACAGAAAAAAAAAAAAAAAGAUUUUGAAAAUGUAGAAGUCACCGGGAUGCAUUCCUCCUCGGAGAAGAGCCCAAUCUCCCAGAACUGAGUAUCAGCGCAUAGGAAGUUAGGACCUUAGAGCGAAGGGGGAGGGGAGUGGUGCAGCCCGCAUUCUCUUCUGGAAGGAGUCACUGCAAGCCCUGCGGUUGGACAUAAGUUUGCGUAAGAGUGUUUUCCUUUUGUCAAUUAUUAAUCACCGGAAUCAGUUUGGCAGAACUGGAGUUUUAGCAGUAGUGCAGAGGGCGGGGCCCGAACACCUAACUCUGGGAGCCUCGGCUGCGCCCAGCACAGUGGCAAGCUAACAGAAGCUGGGGAGAAGCCAGAGCAUCUAAGCUCACUCAGCAAAAGGCAGACUUUCCACAGCUCGAGGAAGAGCCAUGGAUUUCAAGCGUGUGAAGGAGUAUUUUGCCUGGCUCUACUAUCAAUACCAAAUCAUUACCUGCUGUGCUGUCAUGGAGCCUUGGGAACAAUCCAUGCUCAACACCAUCAUACUAACCAUUGUUGCUAUGGUGGUAUACACUGCCUAUGUCUUCAUCCCCAUCCACAUCCGACUGGCUUGGGAAUUUUUCUCCAAAAUAUGUGGAUAUGACAGUUCAAUAUCUAACUGAUAUCAUCGGAAUUCUGUGAAAUGGCGUAAUGUAUUCACAUUGCUUACAACUUACUGACUUGGGUGACUGUGUUAUCGUUCACCUGUGACCUGACCAGCACUCUUUCUAUGCACUGUCACACACAUCCUGCCUGGAGUACAAGAUAGGUGUCUUCCCGCUUGCUUUUGAACAUGCAGCAUUGUGCAUCAGAUGAUAGGAAAGGCCAUGAGUUUAACCCCAUAGCCCACAUUUGCUCAACUCAACUCUGUGGCUGUAGAUUUCUUUUGAAAUCCGGAUGCUUUGAAAUAAAACUUUUCUGGAAGAUAGGCUUAUAAGAGACAUGAUGGAGUCAUAUUUACACUACUCUUUUCAUAUUAUUCCACAUGAAAGGAUAUGUUACAAAAGUAUUCUUCAUAGGCUACUGUCAAAAGUACCCUGCACUUGUUUACAAUUUAUUAAGAGGUGGGAAUAAAAUAGAUGAACCUGUAAAGUCUUAUUUUCUGGUAGAUAGCUAACACCUAAAAUUCAUUUUUUUCUUCCUUUUUAAAUUUUCAUUUUCUUUGCUUCACCUAAAAUUCUUUUACUUUACAGUAAUAGGCUAGAGACAAUUGUCCUCUUUCGGAUUUUGUUUCAGCAAUGUUUCAAAUGCUCCUGAAAUCUGGCUUUAUCGCAGCUUUAAAGGAAUGUUGAUUUUCAGGUAAACAAACAACUACUGUACUAGAGAAUAAUUUAAGUUUCAGAAACAAAGCAUAAUCAAGGCAAAUUCGCAUAUUGUGACUCUUGAUCAUGGCCCACCUUACAUGAUGCUGGAGAUAAAAGAAGAGAGAUCGUUGUUUUGCUGUGCGUUUGGUGAGAGGAAGGAAAACUGCACGUCCUGGACCACAGGAAGAAAGGCUGAUAAAUAGACUGGAAGUAAUAGCCAAGCAGCAGGAAGUCAACAGCUCCAGUUAAAGGCUUUGAUACAGCAGCGCCUUUGCACAGCAGAAACAAGAUAUAUUAAAUUUCUCUCAAAAUGGUUAUCUUCAAAGUAAACGUAAGAGUUUAAUUAUAGUGCUGAGUCAAACAUACAAGCCAAAGACCAAGCCUUGCAGCUUUUCUUUCUUCCCAGUAAAGAUUAACAUUAGUGAUUCUGGAGGGUUAAAAAAAAUAAAUAAAUAAUAAACAUGUUUUGGGCAAUAUUGGCACCUUUGUUUUAGGAGGAAAAUAUUCCAAGGAGUCAUACAAAGAAAGAUAUUUGGCAUGCAAAAUCAGCCUGCAUGUCUAUUUAAAAAACAAAAUGUACAUUUUAAACAGAAACCAGAUAUGAAAUAUAUACUUGUUGAUUUUUGCAAAAUAAAAUUAAG
Rattus norvegicus (Norway rat) is the source of this 3112-nucleotide long non-coding RNA. Ensembl annotates it as serine palmitoyltransferase, small subunit B. Its record names the gene Sptssb. Lineage: Eukaryota; Metazoa; Chordata; Mammalia; Rodentia; Muridae. The record is from Ensembl.